RNAcentral lists this transfer RNA (67 nucleotides) under Platypelis tuberifera (Ambatoharanana giant treefrog). RNAcentral's name for it is "tRNA-Asp". It matches the Rfam family "tRNA". Rfam says of the family: Transfer RNA (tRNA) molecules are approximately 80 nucleotides in length. Their secondary structure includes four short double-helical elements and three loops (D, anti-codon, and T loops). Further hydrogen bonds mediate the characteristic L-shaped molecular structure. tRNAs have two regions of fundamental functional importance: the anti-codon, which is responsible for specific mRNA codon recognition, and the 3' end, to which the tRNAs corresponding amino acid is attached (by aminoacyl-tRNA synthetases). tRNAs cope with the degeneracy of the genetic code in two manners: having more than one tRNA (with a specific anti-codon) for a particular amino acid; and 'wobble' base-pairing, i.e. permitting non-standard base-pairing at the 3rd anti-codon position. Lineage: Eukaryota; Metazoa; Chordata; Amphibia; Anura; Microhylidae. The record is from RNAcentral.
GAAGCGCUAGUUAAAAUAUAACUAUACCUUGUCAAGGUAUCAUUACAGGUUUGACCCCUGUGCCCCU